GACGAACGCUGGCGGCGCGCCUAACACAUGCAAGUCGAACGGAGCUGAGAGAAGCUUGCUUUUCUUAGCUUAGUGGCGAACGGGUGAGUAACGCGUGAGUAACCUGCCCUGGAGUGGGGGACAACAGUUGGAAACGACUGCUAAUACCGCAUAAGCCCACGAUCCGGCAUCGGAUUGAGGGAAAAGGAUUUAUUCGCUUCAGGAUGGACUCGCGUCCAAUUAGCUAGUUGGUGAGGUAACGGCCCACCAAGGCGACGAUUGGUAGCCGGACUGAGAGGUUGAACCGGCACAUUGGGGAUGGGGCCACGGCCCGAAUCCUACGGGGGGGAGGCGUGGGGGAUAUUGGCCAAUGGGGGAAACCCUGAUGCAGCGACGCCGCGUGGAGGAAGAAGGUUUUCGGAUUGUAAACUCCUGUCGUUAGGGACGAUAAUGACGGUACCUAACAAGAAAGCACCGGCUAACUACGUG
RNAcentral lists this ribosomal RNA (468 nucleotides) under uncultured bacterium. RNAcentral describes it as "partial 16S ribosomal RNA". It matches the Rfam family "Bacterial small subunit ribosomal RNA", at positions 28 to 507 of the family's 1533-position model. The record is from RNAcentral.